UCCAGUUGAUCCUGCUGGAGGGUACUGCUAUCGGAGUUCGACUAAGCCAUGCAAGUCUAACCCUAGGACUUCCUGGGGUGGCAGACUGCUGAGUAACACGUAGUCAAUCUACCCUAUAGACGGGGAUAACCUCGAGAAAUUGAGGACAAUACCCGAUAUUCCUCUUAUGCUGGAAUGCUUAGAGGUUUAAAUGGGCGGUGAAUUGGAGCCGUUCCGCUGUAGGACGAGACUGCGGGGGAUUAUGGUUGUUGGUAGGGUAAUGGCUUACCAAGCCGAUAAUCUCUAGGGGCCAUGAGAGUGGUGGCCCCCAGAAGGACACUGAGACAAGGGUCCUAGCCCUACGGGGUGCAGCAGGCGCGAAACCUCUACAAUGCUGGAAACAGUGAUAGGGGAACUCCGAGUGGCGUCGGCUAAGCUGGCGUCUUUUGCCAAGUGUAAAUAGCUUGGAGAAUAAGGGUGUGGGCAAGACUGGUGGCAGCCGCCGCGGUAACACCAGCGCCUCAAGUGGUACCCACGAAUACUGGGCCUAGAGCGUUCGUAGCCGGCCAAAUAAGUCUUCUGUGAAAUAGUGAGGCUUAACCUCACUGCGCGCAGGAGAUACUGUUUGACUUGGGAACGGGGGAGGUCAGGAGUACACCCGGGGUAGGGGUAAAAUCCUUUGAGCCUGGGUGGACUACCAGUGGCGAAGGCGCCUGACCAAAACGUGUCCGACGGUGAGGAACGAAAGCUGGGGGAGCGAACGGGAUUAGAUACCCCGGUAGUCCCAGCCGUAAAUGAUGCAGACUGUGGUGUUGCUUCAGAGUUAAUCUGCAGCAGUGCUGUAGCGUAGGUGUUAAGUCUGCCGCCUGGGGAGUACGGCCGCAAGGUUGAAACUUAAAGGAAUUGGCGGGGGAGCACCACAAGGGGUGGAUGCUACGGUUUAAUUGGAUACAACGCCGUGAACUUCACCAAGGGCGACGGCAGAAUGAAGGUCAGACUAAAGAUCUUACCUAACAAGCCGAGAGGUGUUGCAUGGCCAUCGUCAGCUCGUGGCGUGAGUUGUCAGGUUAAGUCCUGCAACGAGCGAGACCCAUACCAUUAAUUGCUACUUUUACCUUUAGUAAGAGGCACCUUAAUGGGACUGCCCGCGUUAAGUGGGAGGAAGGAGUGGGCGACGGUAGGUCAGUAUGGCCCGAAUCCCUUGGGCUACACGCGGCAUACAAUGGCUGGAACAAUGGGUUGCUACUCCGAAAGGAGACGCUAAUCCCCUAAAUCCAGUCUUAGUUCGGAUUGAGGGUUGAAACUCACCCUCAUGAAGCUGGAAUCCCUAGUAAUCGCGUGUCAUCAUCGCGCGGUGAAUACGUCCCCGCUCCUUGCACACACCGCCCGUCAAGUCACCCAAAUGUGGUGUAGGUGAGGCUCCGGUUUCUGCCGGAUUCGAACCUAUGUUGCGUGAGGGGGGCUAAGUCGUUACAAGGUA
RNAcentral lists this ribosomal RNA (1459 nucleotides) under metagenome. RNAcentral describes it as "bacterial SSU rRNA". It matches the Rfam family "Archaeal small subunit ribosomal RNA". The record is from RNAcentral.